Molecule: long non-coding RNA, 854 nt
Filed under: Vulpes vulpes (red fox)
Lineage: Eukaryota; Metazoa; Chordata; Mammalia; Carnivora; Canidae
Description: lncRNA (ENSVVUG00000014422.1)
Source: RNAcentral
GUACCAUGCACCUGCUGCUUUUGAAUAUAAUAAUUAAAUAGUUCAAUUUACAAUUCUAUACCUUCUUUAAAGCCAUCAUAACUUCAUUAAAAAGAAUAAAAAUGACAGCUUACAAAGUACCUGUUUUCGGUCGUAUCAUUCAAUCACAAAGAAAAAUCUUUUAACUACCACAUGUAAAAAACAUCUCACUUCCCUUAACUACUUCUUGGAAGGGCAGCCCCUUUACAUACUUGUAGCUUUUUCUCCAAACUAUGUACCUGACACCAAACAUAGGUUUCACAUUUCCAAGUAAAGUCCAACAUCUCUUCAGGUUUGUUGACAUGUUUCCAAUCCUGUAAGUGUCUCCCAGGCAACAGAAUUCUAGGAGGACUAAACACAGUAUAUUAAAAACAGAUGGAAAUUGAGAUGUUGAUCAAGUGAAUACCAAAAACAGUGAAAACUAGAAAAGUGACAGGCCUGACAUCGAUGUUUGUAUCCUAAUGAUACUGCAAGAAGCAAGUAAUGAAAAUUGACAGCAGAUUUACCUGCCUGUAAUAGGCAGGACUGGAGACAAGCUGUGGGGGUGACUGGCUUGAUUGAUGUGAUACUGCCCAUUAGGUAUAAAACAGAGAUGGAAGCUGAUGUUGAAGAACAUAUUUCACUUGGAAGAACAGUACAUAUUGUUAUAGGCAAGUUCCGCUAUGAAGAGAAAAGUGGGUCAGUUAUGCUGUGCAUAUAUUUGGAAAUGCCAGGACUAUUCCCAUUGAGUUAAAUGAAGGACUAUAAGGUGGGUGACUUUUUUGAGUUUUGACUUGUUUAAUGUAUUAUAUAUUAAAAACUUCUGAAGUCAAAGGAUGCAAUAUAUAGGACUCAGC